This is a long non-coding RNA of Numida meleagris (helmeted guineafowl), 2081 nucleotides long. The record is from Ensembl. NCBI's taxonomy places the organism in Eukaryota, Metazoa, Chordata, Aves, Galliformes, Numididae.
UAAGCAGCUUAUAGGCAAUGCAAAAAAUCCACCAUAACAACACAGAUAUAAGCAAUACAAAUCACUCAAUCAAUUCUCACAUUACGUUUCUUUCAAAGAAAGGGAUUUUCAAACUAUUCCCUUAUACACUACAGAAUGGCAGAGACCUACCUGCUGCGGUAAGUGAAAUUGCUCGGCAUAUCCUAGAGCGCUCUAGUUCACUCAUGAUCCUGCAGUUACCUUACUAAGUUCUGCUUCCCAAAUAAUUAGGUGAUAUCUACUUACAUGCAGUAGACUAACCUCUGUCUCACGCAUUCAUGCCUCAUUUCCUCAUUUAAUGCUCUUUUCAGUCUUGUUAUUUAUUUUCUUUAAUAUUACAUUUCCAUUUCCAGCUCUACAGCCAGAUGAGUCACACUCAUUGCCAUCCAGAACGGCACUCUCCGAGGCCUGUGAAACAAUAAGCACAGAAAAACUGGAAGACUUAAGGAAAAUGCUCGAGCGUGGGGAUGCGUUAUGAAACUUUGGACGUGGAAGGGGACAGAAGAUUUGCCAGUCUCUCAAGAAACAGAAACUUUCAAGUUCCGAAUUUCUGGGAUUGCCGUACGGGAGCUAAAAUGACCAAUCCUGCAAAGAGAGAAAACCCCCAGCUUUCCACUGAGGCUUACAGGUAUUUGCAACACCUUGUAGGAUUGAGUCCUUUUAACACAUGCCCAUUAAUUGAAGUGAUUUUACUGUAAUAACUGCAUCCUUCUAUACUGUUGUACUACAGCGUAAUUCUCACCUGCCGGGGUCACAUUCUAGAGGCUAAAGUUGUAUACAGCAAGUACACUAAGUAAUAGGUAUUAAUCAUUAUAGAUUUUUCUGUUCAUUGUUUGACACCUGUUAACAAAUGAGCCAUCGCUUGCCCGGCAAAGAUUCUGUAACAGCUCUUUUAUUUCGUUAACGACUGUCCUCCCAGCAACAGCACUUAAAGCUGUAGCCACAUAUUGUCAGAUGAGCUUGCAUCGAAGAUGGACUGCUAGCUCAGGUAAUGUCUGAUUUUCACUUAAGUAUGAAUUUAGGUGAUGCCUCUUGUUUUUUGGGUUUGUUUUUUUCUAGGUCAUAACUUAGAGCUAACUCAGAAUAGAUAAAAGGCAAACCAGAUAAAAGAGACCGCUUGUUUCUUUGUUGACAGAAAGUGGCAAGCUGGGAGGCUGUUUAGGGAUCGAGAUAAAAAAUGGCAAUAAGCUCCCUGUCAAAGGAAGGAGAGGGAAAAAAAUAAGAGGUCAGAGAAGAUAUUUUCUAGAUCGGCUAUCUGAUUUAGAACUGACAGAGAAACGGAACAAGCAACCAUGAGAUACAAACACUACUGACUUAUUAAUGCACUUGCAAGGGGUAAAAAACGGAGAAGAGGUGAAGCGAAUCACCCGAAGGCAGACGAGAGAGAUGCAUCUAUGCACACAUUUGUAUAUUUGGACCGGCUCUUCGCUCAGAUAGUAUUUUAGAAAACUGAAGAUUAAAAGCAUUCCCUUCCGAAGCUUGAGAGUCACAAAAUCUUGUAAUGCAGACUGAUAAUUAAGUUGGAUUCUUUGUUGGGCAGCACCACUGAAGCAGAUCUAAAAUUGUGUGUAUAUAUAUACAUAUACACACACAUAUAAUUUUUCCACCCUUCCCCCCUCCCUCACUCCUCCCCUGCCAUUCUUUCUCCAAGCACAGGUGCCCUUCCUCAUUUGGACUUUUCAGGUAUUUUUGGGGAAAAAGAACAGUUCAACACUAAUGCACGUAUUUGAACAAAUCCCACUCUCCAGUUAAGGUAUCUUCUCCCAGGAUUCAGUGAGCUUUCCAACACUGAUUAUUUUUCAAGUUGCCCCGUAACUCUUGAUUUCUGUUCAUUACACUCUUUCCGACAUCUCUUAUUUUUGACUCAUUCCCCUCCAACCAUUAUCUCUGCUUCUAAGUCUCUCUGCACUUCGGACAUUCUUUAACUUUGCUCACAGCCACUGUUCUUCACUCUCGAUUUGCACUCCUGCAUAUUUCCCCGUACGUUCGCCUUUUCCUCCCUGCUAUCAGAAAUUGGAGCCAUCUUUCCUUGAAUCAGAAUAAAUCCUCCAAGAGACAAUACA